UGGCAACGUGCUCCCACUUCGCCUUGGC
Molecule: small RNA, 28 nt
Filed under: Bombyx mori (domestic silkworm)
Lineage: Eukaryota; Metazoa; Arthropoda; Insecta; Lepidoptera; Bombycidae
Description: ovarian small RNA-34713
Source: RNAcentral